GCAGGCUUAACACAUGCAAGUUGAGCGGGCGUAGCAAUACGUCAGCGGCAGACGGGUGAGUAACGCGUGGGAACGUACCUUUUGGUUCGGAACAACACAGGGAAACUUGUGCUAAUACCGGAUAAGCCCUUACGGGGAAAGAUUUAUCGCCGAAAGAUCGGCCCGCGUCUGAUUAGCUAGUUGGUGAGGUAAUGGCUCACCAAGGCGACGAUCAGUAGCUGGUUUGAGAGGAUGAUCAGCCACAUUGGGACUGAGACACGGCCCAAAC
RNAcentral lists this ribosomal RNA (268 nucleotides) under Bradyrhizobium sp. TAL1127. RNAcentral describes it as "partial 16S ribosomal RNA". It matches the Rfam family "Bacterial small subunit ribosomal RNA", at positions 42 to 336 of the family's 1533-position model. The record is from RNAcentral. Lineage: Bacteria; Pseudomonadati; Pseudomonadota; Alphaproteobacteria; Hyphomicrobiales; Nitrobacteraceae.